RNAcentral lists this long non-coding RNA (818 nucleotides) under Rhinopithecus bieti (black snub-nosed monkey). RNAcentral describes it as "lncRNA (ENSRBIG00000045250.1)". Lineage: Eukaryota; Metazoa; Chordata; Mammalia; Primates; Cercopithecidae. The record is from RNAcentral.
AUGUGUAAUUAUGCAAACUCCAUCAGUGAUUCCCUGAUGUUGUUUCUCACCAAUUUUCUCACAGACAUGAAGACAGAAGAGAGGUUCUUGUGAACACAUUUGAACAGGGAAAAGAUUGAAAUCAAAUGCCCAGAAGUUCCAAGGAAGAGUAAAAAUAGAAGCCAGAGUGGCAGAGGGAACCAUUAUGCAGUGCGUGGCCCUCAUUCACGAUGCUUACAGUAGCUGAUUUAUUAGAAGAUAGAAAAGAAAAUUGAUUUACAAAUGGUCUUGGGAAGGGGAAACGGAUGGAAUAAAUGAGCUGAGACUAUGACAUGAGCUACACCAAGGUCUCAGUGUGCCUUCUCAAAAGAAUAAAAGAAUCAAGAUGCAGUCUCACUAUUUGGGAGGUGUUGAAGGAGAUGCAUACAGCUGGCAAGGCCAAGGGAAGAUGCUGCUGUAUCUCCUACCAGUCCACUCCAACCAGGAGCCAGGCUGGAGCUGAAAACCACAAAGGGCAAGGUCACCAUAGCUGCAAAGGUCACAGAUGUCAGCCCAAGCUGAUCCAGAAGGCAGGCAUCACAGUUUCCACCACUGCAACCAGCUCUGACCAAACAAGACUCCCAGGGUUCUGGGAUCUACCAGAGGAAAGGAGAGGAGAGCCUGAGAUGAAAUUUUGAACUGGACUCUAGUGAGUUAAUUAUCCUGAACCCACUGAUCAGUCUCAAGAGUGGGCUGAAUAUUCUGAGAAUGUCUGCCAGAGGGUUGCUAGAGUGUCAGAGACAGAAAUUCAGGGCUGUUUUAGAAAUAAAUACAAGUCUACUUAUUUUUAUCCAUGUCUG